GAUCCAGAGAAGAAGUAGCAAGUCAGGGAGAGGGGUCAUCCAAGGAGGAGACCGAAGGCUCGGCGGCAUGGGCCAUCCGAUGAGGAUGGACAAAUAGAAGAGGUGGUAAAAGAAGUUAAGGAAAAAUCUAUGUUUAGUGAUGGUGGUUGUAUUAUUAUUUAGAAUGAGAUUGAAGAAAUGUUAAAAUAUUAAGCAUAAAGAAGGCACCUCUAAUGACUAUUAGGUGGUGUUUGUUUUUUAGAAAAAAACUCUUCUAACCUCUUAGUGCUGCGUGGCGCAGCACACGCGCAGCACUUUUAGGUUCGCAGCUGUUUGUUUUUCUGCAGACUUCGGGCUUAAAAACCUCUUCCCGUCCUCUUCCCCACACAGCAGUGGGCUUACCUCUUCUAACUACUUCUAACCUCAUUAAAAAAUCACUCUAUGCCCUAAACAAAAAAAAAAGCGCCGCUGCCUUUUCUUUCCCGUUCUUUUUCUAGGCUUCUUCUCGGUCCGACGACUCCAGCCUCCGGCCAUCGCCGGUCGCCUCCGCUGCCAGCCAUCGCCGGUCGCCUACGCCGCUUGCUGCUGCCCUCGAUCUUCACAGGUAAAUUUUUUUUUUUUUUUUUUCUGAUUUCUUUGAGCACCGAUUCAAUGAAAUUGAGUACAAAUUCUGUGAUUUCUUAUACAUUUGAGUACCGAUUGUUUGAAUGAAUCAAACAUAGGAAUGUUAAGUGGGAAUGGAAUCUCAAAUUCCAAUACCAUUGUAUAAAGUAUGCAUAAAAGUAGGAAAAAAGUAUGUUGAUUGUAAUCUUUUGGAAUGAAUCAAACAUAGGAAUGUUAAGUGGGAAUGGAAUCUCAAAUUCCAGCAAUGAGGUCUCAAAUUCCAGCAAUGGAAUCUCAAAUUCCAGCAAUGUUAAGUGGCUUUACAAUAUUGCAAAUAUAUGAUUAUAUUAUAAAUUAUAAAUUUCUUGCAUGCCCUCGGUUUCUAGAUCAGUUAUUUUUUUUGAUUUUUUUUGAUUUCUUAUUUUUUUGACUAACGAUUGUAUGAAAUUGAGUACAUAGGAAUCAAACAUAGGAAUCAAACAUAGGAAUUUUAUUUUAUUUUUUAUUUUUUUUGAUUUCUUAUUGAUUUGACUAACGAUUGUAUGAAAUUGAGUACAAAUUCUGUGAUUUCUUAUGCAUUUGAGUACCGAUUCUUUGCAUUUGAGGACCAAUUUUGUGAUUUCUUGCAUGUCCUCGGUUUCAAAAUCAUAAUCUUUGCUUAAUUGUUUUUUUUUUGUUCAUUCAUGAUGUAUUGUUGUUGAAUAUCUUAAACUUAUUUGUUGAUUAUGUUGGAAUAUGAUUAAUCUUUGUAGCUAAAGUAUGUAUUCUAUAUUUUUUUUUUUGUUAUUAGCAAUGGGAGAUAAACAUACAUGGACCAAUGAGCAAACAAAAUGCUUAUUGCAAACUUGUAUUGAAGAAGUGCAAACCGUGGGUAGAAAAGGUUUGAGUUUGCACAAACAAUCAUGGCACAAGUUAGGAACAACUAUUAAGGAAAAGUAUGGCGUGGAUUUGAAUCAACGACAAUUAAAAAACGCCUAUGAUAACCUUAAAGCCAAAUACACAGGAUGGUUAUACUUAAGAAACAAAACUGGAAACCUUUACAACCCACAAACAAAUACUUUUAACUUAACAAAUGAGGAGUGGGAGGACUUUAAAAAGGUAUACAUAUAUACAUAUAUACAUAUAUACAUAUAUAUAUAUAUAUACACACACACACACACACAUAUUUAUUCUUAUAUUACUUUUGUUACAUUGAUUGCGUUUAGGGACAUCCGAAAGCUGCUUCUUUGAAAACCGUCCCAUUAUUGUUUCCAGAGCUUUGUGCAGAACUCUUUGAUGGAAGCAGUGCAUCUGGUAAUCUCAGCUAUGCCACAUCCCAAACACCAUCGGGAUCAUCUUCUUUCCAUGGCGCACCAUUACAGCUUUUGGACGCGCCUUCCAUUAACAUAGAUGAAGAUGAUUUUUUUUCCAAUCAUACAAGUGAACAUUUUACUCAGACUCCACCUUCUGCUGCUUCACCUUCUGCUGAUUCACCUUAUGUUGCUUCACCUUCUGGUAACCCCAACAAAAGGGCUAAACCUUCAACUCCUAGACCUCGAGCUCCCAGUGCCUCACCUGAUCCACCUUCUUGUGCCUCGCCUAAAGCUUCUAUUACUGCUGAUGAUUUAGCACUGGAGAUGCAAAAAGCUCUACGCCAUUUGACUCAAGGGCCAACAAUUCCCCAGUGUUUAGAGAAGCUUGAGUUGCUCGAGUUAGACCCAAUAGACCCUAUACGAUUUGCUGCGUAUCACAUUUUUGGAGGGACCAUGAAUAUUAGAGAGAUGUGGGUAAAUUUGCCUAAUGAUCCACAAAUAUUAAGAGGAUGGAUCGAGAUGACAGCUACAAGUUUAGGAGUUUUAAAGGAUGGAAAGAUUGUUCGUUAAGUUUAUAUGUUAUUUGGUUAUUUGCUACUUGGGAUUUAUGAUAUGUUUUGGUACUUGAAUGUUAUUUUGUUAUUUGGUACUUGAAUGUUAUUUGGUUAUUUGCUACUUGGGAUUUAUGAUAUGUUUUUUGGUACUUGAAAUUUAUGUUAUAUUUUUUUGGUACUUGAGAUUUAUGUUAUUAUCUUAUGUUAUAUUAUUAUCUUAUGAUAUAUUAUUAUCUUAUGUUAUUAUAUGUUUUCUUUAUUAAUAGGUUUGUAAUGGAUCACGACAAAAAGAUACUACUCAUAAUUCUUAUGUACUUGUAUGUCCGCUACUUUUGGAAGAGGGGUGUAAAACGAGUGCGGGACAACGAUUCGGAAAUGACAGGACAUGAAUUUACGUUAGAGUUACUUCACCGUAAUCCUCUACAAUGUCUUGAAGUGUUACGCAUGUCUCGUGAAUCAUUUGUCCGACUAUGUGCUCAUUUUAGAGUAAACUACGCGUUAAAGGAUAGCAAACAUGUGUCGGUUGAGGAGAAGAUGGCUAUGUUUUUGAUGAUGAUCGGUCAUAACCAACGUUAUGUGAUUAUCAAGCGGAGAUUUCAACACUCAAAGCAAACAAUUCAUAAGUUUUUUCAUGAAGUGUUGGCCAAAAUGUUGCUUUUCGCACAUGACAUUAUAGUACCAACAUCUUUUAAUCCGAAUCCAAACAUUCCGGGACAUAAUAGGAGGCUACGACGGGUGUUCAAGGGAGCAGUUGGUGCACUUGAUGGCACUUUGAUACAUGCUGUUGUCCCUGCAAACAAACAGGAUUUAUAUAGAAGUAGGGGAAAAGGCGAUUGUUACCAAAACGUAUUGGCAAUAUGUGACUUUAACAUGAUGUUUACGUUUGUUGUUGCCGGUUGGGAAGGGAUAGCACACGAUUCUAGAAUUUUAUCAGAAGCAUUAGCAAAUCCACAUGCACCAUUCCCGCUUCCACCUCCAGGUAAAUUUAUGGUUAUUUAAAUAGUUUUAUCUUUAUUUGAAAAUAAAUGACUUUUUUUUACAGAUAAAUAUUAUCUAUGUGAUGCCGCCUAUGCAAACAUUCGAGGUUUUAUGGCACCGUACCGUAAUGUUAGGUAUUGGCUUGGAGAUUUCCGUCGAAGACGUGCAUUAACGAAUAAAGAAAAAUUUAACCAUGGACACGCAAAACUUCGGAAUGUCAUUGAACGUGCUUUUGGUGUCUUGAAAGCACGAUUCCCUAUACUGAAGAGGAUGGCACCAUUCUCGUUGGUUACACAACGAAACAUUACUCUAGCAUGUUUUGCGCUUCAUAAUUUUAUAAGAAGAGAGGGACUACGUGAUGAGUUUUUUGCACGAUAUGAUGAACCAAAUGUCUCGGUUCGGAAUAACAAUGCGGUCGUUGAUAAUGAUGAAGAUGAGAUUCCAACACAUGGUACUGCUGCGGACCGUGAAUAUAUGAGCCAGUUACGGGAUGAAAUUGCCGAACAAUUGAUGCAAAAUAUGGAAUGAAAAUUAUUAAAGUUUGGUUGUAUGAAUUUUAUUUAAAAAUGUUAUUGUAAGACUAAUUUCGUUGUUUGAAUUUUAUUUCAAUGUUUUAAGACUACAAUUAUUAAAUUUUUGGUAUUAACAAACUAUUUUCGGUUUAUUAAAUUACUUUAUUUUAAAUUUUUUAAUAUCUGCAGCAGUCUGCAGACGUUAAGAAAACAAACAUGCUUCUCAUUACAGUCUUCAGCACUUUGGUCCACCUCUUCUACUGCAGAGGUCUGCAGAGGUGGUCCGCAGACUUCAGACAGAUUCACUUCGAAAAAACAAACAGCACCUUAGAGAAGGUAGUCGAAGGUGGAGGGCGGCGACUACAAG
RNAcentral lists this long non-coding RNA (4285 nucleotides) under Lactuca sativa (garden lettuce). Its description in RNAcentral is "long non-coding RNA (LSAT_LNC005841)". Lineage: Eukaryota; Viridiplantae; Streptophyta; Magnoliopsida; Asterales; Asteraceae. The record is from RNAcentral.